Long non-coding RNA from Ailuropoda melanoleuca (giant panda), 932 nucleotides. RefSeq lists it as uncharacterized. Lineage: Eukaryota; Metazoa; Chordata; Mammalia; Carnivora; Ursidae. The transcript is spliced from 3 exons. The record is from RefSeq and is a predicted model, not a curated record.
GUUGCGUAUGAAGAAUAACAACUGUGUUUCGUGGUUUUUGUUUGGUUACAGCAAAAAUAGCGCACGCUUUUCGAGGAAACUGAAAAAUACAGAACUAAAAAUCACCUUUCAUCCCAACACCUGAAGAGAUGCGCAGGUCCAGGAGAAAACGUGGGAGACUUUUCACUACAGGAGGCCGAUCGGUUCUUGGUCCAUAAUGGGUAUAUGGUCCCUGUGCAAAGAAAUGGCCAUACCAGUAUCCUUCACAUGGCACCAAGGAUGGGCCUGGAAGUUGAAGACAAUGUGGGCUUGUUGAUGGAGGUGGAUACAGUUAGCAGGAAAGAGGUUGUCCAGCCAUUUGAGGACAUCUCCAGAGUUCCUAGAGCCAAGAGUCACAAGAGAAAUACCUCAUCUCUCCCCCAGUCCUCCAUAAUUGUAUUCAUGCCUUCAUUUUUAACAGCUUUAUUGAGGUGUAUUUCACAUGUCAAUUUACCCAUUUAGCAUAUACAAUUCAUAAACACAUGAAUUAUCACUACAGUAAAUUUUAGAAAGUUUUUAUCACAUUAGAAAGAAAUCCCAUACCCGUUAGCUACUAUCUCUCUAUCCACUCCCUGCCCCUUCCUCAGCCCUAAGCAACCACUGAUCUACUUUUUGUCUAUAGAUUUCCCUGCUUAGGACACUUCAUAUGAAUGAAAUCAUAUAAUAUGUGUCUUUUAUGACUGGCUUCUUUCACUUAGCAUCAUGUUUUCAACACUUAUGCAUGAUGAAGCCUUUAUUGGUAUUUUAUUCUUUUCUUACAGCUGACUAAUAUUCUAUUGUAUAGAUAUGACAUUUUUAACCAUUUGUCUUUUGAUGGACAUUUGGAUUAUUUCUGCAUUUUGGCAAUUAGGAAUAAUGCUGCUAUAAACACUGUUUGCAAGUUUUCGUGUGGACAUACAUUUUCAUUUUUCUUG